CGUGUGGUUCUAUUUUGUUGGUUUCUAGGACCGCCGUAAUGAUUAAUAGGGACAGUCGGGGGCAUCAGUAUUCAAUUGUCAGAGGUGAAAUUCUUGGAUUUAUUGAAGACUAACUACUGCGAAAGCAUUUGCCAAGGAUGUUUUCAUUAAUCAGGAACGAAAGUUAGGGGAUCGAAGACGAUCAGAUACCGUCGUAGUCUUAACCAUAAACUAUGCCGACUAGGGAUCGGACGGUGUUAUUUUUUGACCCGUUCGGCACCUUACGAGAAAUCAAAGUGCUUGGGCUCCAGGGGGAGUAUGGUCGCAAGGCUGAAACUUAAAGAAAUUGACGGAAGGGCACCACCAGGGGUGGAACCUGCGGCUUAAUUUGACUCAACACGGGGAAACUCACCAGGUCCAGACACUGUGAGGAUUGACAGAUUGACAGCUCUUUCUUGAUUCUGUGGGUGGUGGUGCAUGGCCGUUCUUAGUUGGUGGAGUGAUUUGUCUGUUUAAUUGCGAUAACGAACGAGACCUUAACCUGCUAAAUAGCCCGUUCUGCUCCGGCAGUUCGCCGGCUUCUUAGAGGGACUAUCGGCUCAAGCCGAUGGAAGUUUGAGGCAAUAACAGGUCUGUGAUGCCCUUAGAUGUCCUGGGCCGCACGCGCGUUACACUGACAGAGCCAGCGAGUAUUUCCUUGGCCGGAAGGUCCGGGUAAUCUUGUUAAACUCUGUCGUGC
Molecule: ribosomal RNA, 718 nt
Filed under: uncultured fungus
Lineage: Eukaryota; Fungi
Description: SSU rRNA
Rfam family: Eukaryotic small subunit ribosomal RNA
Source: RNAcentral